AGAAGUCUCUAUUUGCUACUUACUCCUCUCAUAUUGUUGAUGUUACUUGUACAUCUAACUCUACCUCAUUUGAAGUAUCAACAUUGAAGGAGAAUAUUGAGCUACGUGCUCAACUUGAUUUACUAACUAGCAAUUAUGGGAAGUUGGAAGAAAACCAUGUAAUGCUCACAAGCUCACAUGCCAAUCUUCUAACAUCCUAUAAUGUGCAAAAGUUAGCUCAUGAGGCUAUCAUCACCAAG
This 239-nucleotide long non-coding RNA is filed under the name Hordeum vulgare. RNAcentral's name for it is "long non-coding RNA (HVUL_LNC015114)". The record is from RNAcentral. Lineage: Eukaryota; Viridiplantae; Streptophyta; Magnoliopsida; Poales; Poaceae.